AAGCGACCCACGGUGGCAGAUCCAACGUCGGGCUCUCCAGGAGAUCAUCCCCAGGGACAGGGAAAAUCAUUGACUUGGGUCCAGCAAUGCCAAAUGUGUUAGGGUGUGAGUAACCAAAGGCAACAGGCUCCA
This is a long non-coding RNA of Chiroxiphia lanceolata (lance-tailed manakin), 132 nucleotides long. RefSeq lists it as uncharacterized. NCBI's taxonomy places the organism in Eukaryota, Metazoa, Chordata, Aves, Passeriformes, Pipridae. The record is from RefSeq and is a predicted model, not a curated record. The transcript has 2 exons.